AUAGACAGGUAACCAGGACAACAGUUGAACAGAUGAACAGAUGAAUCGUUGAACGGGUGAAUAGAUGAUCAGGUGAACAGAUGAGUCGUUAAACAGGUAAAUAGAUGAUCAGGUGAACAGAUGAGUCGUUAAACAGGUAAACAGAUGAUCAGGUGAACAGAUGAAUCAUUGAACAGUUGAGCAGGUGAAUCGUUGAACAGAUGAAUAGAAAAUCAGGUGUGUAGAUUGUUUAACAGGUGAACAGAUGAGUUGUUGAACAGGUAAAUAGAUGAUCAGGUGAACAGAUGAGUCGUUAAACAGGUAAAUAGAUGAUCAGGUGAACAGAUGAAUCAUUGAACAGUUGAGCAGGUGAAUCGUUGAACAGAUGAAUAGAAAAUCAGGUGUGUAGAUUGUUUAACAGGUGAACAGAUGAGUUGUUGAACAGGUAAAUAGAUGAUCAGGUGAACAGAUGAGUCGUUGAACAGGUAAAUAGAUGAUCAGGUGAACAGAUGAGUUGUUGAACAGGUAAAUAGAUGAUCAGGUGAACAGAUGAGUCGUUGAACAGGUGAAUAGAUGAUCAGGUGAACAGAUGAGUCGUUGAACGGGUGAAUAGAUUAUCAGGUGAACAGAUGAGUCGUUAAACAGGUAAAUAGAUGAUCAGGUGAACAGAUGAAUCAUUGAACAGUUGAGCAGGUGAAUCGUUGAACAGAUAAAUAGAAAAUCAGGUGUAUAGAUUGUUUAACAGGUGAACAGGUGAAUCGGUGAACAGAUGAACAGAUUGAACAGGUGAAUUGUUGAACAGGUGUGGUGGAUUCCCUGUCUUGCAACUCUCUGUGUUUCUAGUUUUUGUGGAUUUUCUAAGUUUUCUGAUGAAGACAUUUUUAAUGUGAAUUAAUCUGUAGUAAUCUUCUGAUCAUUUUUUAAUGAUGUGUGUGAUGAAGCACUAUUGCUCAUCGUCAUCACCCCACUCCAUCGCCCACUGAUAGCGUCACAUAGGACGUUCUGUCCAGCUGCUCGUCUUCAUCACAUCACAUCUACACACGUUGAACAUCAGCCACAACAUUAAAACCACUAAGAGGCGAAUCAUCGGGUAACACUGCUAGGUCUCCUCCACUUCUGACCAUCAACCCCCACCUGGAGCAGGCCAAACACACUCCUGGCGCUGCUGCUCAGGUACCUGACCUGGUUAUAUGCCCACUUCCGAGUCCACUCCACAGUGUCCCAGUACUACCACAGACCACCAUCACCUGCGGUAUCCAUGCCAACAAGUCAGCAUCACAUUAAGAAGGUGGUUUUAAUGUUUUGGUUGUUUCUUUACUGAAAAGAAAUGUAAAAUUUUGUAACAAACUUUAAAACACCAGAAAUUCUGCUUUCAAAUUCUGUUAAAAGUUCACAAGUUCUGUCUCCAGACGUAAAACCACUUUUUAUUCUGCACGAAAAAUGGCCAGUAUGAAGAAUUCUAUCUUGUAUAUAUUAUAUGACAUUAUUAUACUGUAAAUAAUCAUUAAAGUGUUCUUAUUAUGCAAA
Molecule: long non-coding RNA, 1506 nt
Organism: Melanotaenia boesemani (Boeseman's rainbowfish)
Lineage: Eukaryota; Metazoa; Chordata; Actinopteri; Atheriniformes; Melanotaeniidae
Exons: 4
Source: RefSeq, a predicted model, not a curated record